This 460-nucleotide ribosomal RNA is filed under the name uncultured bacterium. RNAcentral describes it as "partial 16S ribosomal RNA". It matches the Rfam family "Bacterial small subunit ribosomal RNA", at positions 338 to 795 of the family's 1533-position model. The record is from RNAcentral.
CCUACGGGAGGCAGCAGUGAGGAAUAUUGGUCAAUGGGCGUGAGCCUGAACCAGCCAAGUCGCGUGAAGGAUGACUGCCCUACGGGUUGUAAACUUCUUUUGUCAGGGAGCAAUGGGGUCCACGCGUGGGCUGAGCGAGAGUACCUGAAGAAAAAGCAUCGGCUAACUCCGUGCCAGCAGCCGCGGUAAUACGGAGGAUGCGAGCGUUAUCCGGAUUUAUUGGGUUUAAAGGGUGCGUAGGCGGAAUAUCAAGUCAGCGGUAAAAAUUCGGGGCUCAACCCCGUCGUGCCGUUGAAACUGAGGUUCUUGAGUGGGCGAGAAGUAUGCGGAAUGCGUGGUGUAGCGGUGAAAUGCAUAGAUAUCACGCAGAACUCCGAUUGCGAAGGCAGCAUACCGGCGCCCAACUGACGCUGAAGCACGAAAGCGUGGGUAUCGAACAGGAUUAGAUACCCUGGUAGUC